UACGAAGGGGGGCUAGCGUUGUUCGGAAUUACUGGGCGUAAAGCGCACGUAGGCGGAUACUUAAGUCAGGGGUGAAAUCCCGGGGCUCAACCCCGGAACUGCCUUUGAUACUGGGUAUCUCGAGUCCGGAAGAGGUGAGUGGAAUUCCGAGUGUAGAGGUGAAAUUCGUAGAUAUUCGGAGGAACACCAGUGGCGAAGGCGGCUCACUGGUCCGGUACUGACGCUGAGGUGCGAAAGCGUGGGGAGCAAACAGG
Molecule: ribosomal RNA, 254 nt
Filed under: uncultured bacterium
Lineage: Bacteria
Description: partial 16S ribosomal RNA
Rfam family: Bacterial small subunit ribosomal RNA
Source: RNAcentral